UGCCACAUGUAAAGAAGCAAACAUCCGGAGCGGCUUCCUGCAAGCCUUGCUUCCCUCAACACUAGAGAUUUACUGGGGUGGGGGUGGGUGUCUGGAGUAGAAGCCUGGUUCUCAAGUCUGCUGUAGCCCGCAGCGGUGUCACACUCAAACAGUGCAGGAUUUCUAGGUGGCAACUGACUAUGCCACAUGCCCAAGGAAUACCAAAGGCUGGGGCAAGGAAUCGACAAGAAGUUGUGCCCGCUACCACUUGGGGCCUGUAGCAAGCGGGUUGGUGAUCAACUGUGACUCCGAAAUGGGAGAGUCAAAGCCGCUCUCUACAGCGAGCCUCUGAGUGAGCGGUUGAUUUCUCGAAGGUUUUGUGGUUUUGGUAUUCUGAUGGCCAGAGCCUGUUAAAGGACACUCAAGUCCAAUUGCGCAGGAUCCGUGGGCACUCAGGCAGAUCCGUGGUCUGUGGAGAGUAAAUUCAUGAGGGCGGAAAGGGGAGCGCAGGCAGCCCCGGCGGACUCUAAGAUAAAACAGACAAUAGUACCACUGGACAAUCUAAACUACGUGCCUCAGAGUCUGCCUCUGGGAACCACGAGGGAAGUGACACGGCGCGGAGCGUCGUGCCCCGGGCUCCGCACCUCCCAGAACUCAACUUGAGGGAUCAUGGACCUACCAGAGGAUUCAUUCAGUCCACGUGGUCCUCACCUCUGAAGUAGACUGUAAUAUGAAUGCUCUGUGGAGUGUAGAGAGGAAGGCUUUUCAUAGCAGGUUGGAAUAGAAGGAAUGUUGCUACCUAGUAAGAUCCUGACAAGACGACAAGGAGCCAGAAGCCAUGCAGAGCAGAGAA
Molecule: long non-coding RNA, 832 nt
Organism: Mastomys coucha (southern multimammate mouse)
Lineage: Eukaryota; Metazoa; Chordata; Mammalia; Rodentia; Muridae
Exons: 3
Source: RefSeq, a predicted model, not a curated record